GGUUCGAUGGUGUAGUUGGUUAUCACUUCUGUCUAACACGGUCAUUCUAAAUGCUCCGGAGUUCCACAGGCGGUCCUCAGUUCGAACCUGGGUCGAAUCA
Molecule: non-coding RNA, 100 nt
Organism: Mycena latifolia
Lineage: Eukaryota; Fungi; Basidiomycota; Agaricomycetes; Agaricales; Mycenaceae
Source: the annotation of a GenBank genome assembly